This 483-nucleotide ribosomal RNA is filed under the name uncultured bacterium. RNAcentral describes it as "partial 16S ribosomal RNA". It matches the Rfam family "Bacterial small subunit ribosomal RNA", at positions 29 to 506 of the family's 1533-position model. The record is from RNAcentral.
AGUGAACGCUGGCGGCAGGCCUAACACAUGCAAGUCGAGCGGCAGCGCGGGGGCAACCCUGGCGGCGAGCGGCGGACGGGUGAGGAAUUCGUCGGAAUCUGCCUUUUUGUGGGGGAUAACGUAGGGAAACUUACGCUAAUACCGCAUACGUCCUACGGGAGAAAGUGGGGGACCGCAAGGCCUCACGCAGAAAGAUGAGCCGACGACCGAUUAGCUAGUUGGUGGGGUAAAGGCCCACCAAGGCGACGAUCGGUAGCUGGUCUGAGAGGAUGAUCAGCCACACUGGGACUGAGACACGGCCCAGACUCCUACGGGAGGCAGCAGUGGGGAAUAUUGGACAAUGGGCGCAAGCCUGAUCCAGCCAUGCCGCGUGCGUGAAGAAGGCCUUCGGGUUGUAAAGCACUUUUGUCCGGAAAGAAAUCCCUGGAGCUAAUACCUUCGGGGGAUGACGGUACCGGAAGAAUAAGCACCGGCUAACUUCGU